This 253-nucleotide ribosomal RNA is filed under the name uncultured bacterium. RNAcentral describes it as "partial 16S ribosomal RNA". It matches the Rfam family "Bacterial small subunit ribosomal RNA", at positions 524 to 776 of the family's 1533-position model. The record is from RNAcentral.
UACGGAGGGGGCUAGCGUUGUUCGGAAUUACUGGGCGUAAAGCGCACGUAGGCGGCUUUGUAAGUUAGAGGUGAAAGCCUGGAGCUCAACUCCAGAAUUGCCUUUAAGACUGCAUCGCUUGAAUCCAGGAGAGGUGAGUGGAAUUCCGAGUGUAGAGGUGAAAUUCGUAGAUAUUCGGAAGAACACCAGUGGCGAAGGCGGCUCACUGGACUGGUAUUGACGCUGAGGAACGAAAGCGUGGGUAGCGAACAGG